Molecule: long non-coding RNA, 3292 nt
Filed under: Homo sapiens (human)
Lineage: Eukaryota; Metazoa; Chordata; Mammalia; Primates; Hominidae
Description: HSALNT0373868
Source: RNAcentral
AAAUGACUCAGCAUAGAGAAGCGGGACAGACAUAUAAACAAAGAGCUAUGUAGUCUGGGACACUCAAGCUCCUAUCCUUGCUCGUAGAAGAUCCAACUAUUUGCCCCACAAGCAAACAGUCUCAGCUCAAAUACAGUAUCUUUAAGGAUGCCGGAGAUACAGGAGUGCUGGGAAGGCAAGACCAUGGUCCCUUUAAAUGAUACGGGAGUGCUGGGUAGAGGAAGGGUGUGGUCCCUGGCUAGGGCUCCACCCCCACCGACCUAGAUGAGGACCUGGCACUCCUGCCUGCACGCCCAAAUGUUGUAUUUCCCAAGACCAUCCUGGCCCACCACGGCCCCAUCCUGUGACUAUAAAAACCUGAGACUCUAGCAAGGCAAAGACCGAAACGACUGGACGUGUAGAGGAGCGGAUCAGCAGAAGAAGAUAGAGGCAGGGGGAUGUCAAAUGCAGCAUAUCAGCGUAGGAACACACAGGCCGUUGAAGCGAGAGAGGAGCACAUCAAUGAAAGAAGGCACAAGCAUCUGGAUGGCGAGAGGAUGUUGAGGGGAGCAUGGCAGCUGAAGAGCACACCGACAGGACACACGCCGGCACUGUCCCGGUGGGAGUGGGAUGAGGCGGAGUUUGGUGGGGGCAGUGGGAGGAGAGCCCUGGCCGUGGAGUGCCCCAACUCCAGGGGAAAACCAUCUCCCUUCUGGCUCCCCCAUCUGCUGAGAGCUACUUCCACUCAAUAAAAGCUUGCACUCAUUCUCCAAGCCCACAUGUGAUCCUAUUCUUUCGGUACACAAAGGCGAGAAACCCCGGGAUACAGAAAGCCCUCUGUCCUUGAGAUGAGGUAGAGGGUCUAAUUGAGCUGGUUAACACAAGCCUAUAGAUGGCACACUAAGAGAGCAUCCUGUAACACACGCCCACUGGGGCUUCAGCUGUAAACAUUCACCCCUAGACACUGUUGUAGGGUGGGAGCCCCACAGCCUGCCGUCUGUAUGCUCCUCUAGAGGUCUGAGCAGUGGGGCACUGGAGAGCCACACCCACAUCGCAUGCCCUGCCGGGGGACUACUGAACCUUUCCCGUUUCACUAGCAUAUACAAUAUAACCCUCUGGCCUAUCGCUUUAACACAUUUCCUCAGAGCGUUCAACAUCAUCUGUUAAAUACUUGUAUUAUAAUAUUUUAUCUCUUUAUUUCUUUUGCUUUAUAAAAUAAAUUGCUUAUCUUUUCGGUAAUCCCCUGUAUCCCUGAUGCUUCGAUCAAUGCCUAACAUAUAUUGAAUUAAUAUUAAUUGAUGAAAUAAAUGGAUAAACACACUCCUUCCUGAGUAUGAAUAUAUCUUAACUGUAUCACAUAACUUUUUUCACAUUCUUCCUUGCCUCAACGGUUUGCAUAUAUUUCACGUAGGUCACUUAUCACUAUCGGGAUUUAUGUAAUUUAAAAAUCUCCUCCAUUAAAUUGCAAAUUUCUUGGCAACUGGAUUUUCUUAUAUUCAUUUGUUAAAAUUUGCAUGCCUUUAAGACAUACAUAUACUAACUGCUCAAAUAAUAUUAUUUAAAUGAAUGGAUGUAAAUUAUACUAAGGGCAAGUUUAAGAAUUAUUAUUUCCUUUUUACCCAGAAGCUUAAAAACAUUUCAUUUUCUAAAAUUCUAUGAGAAGGCAUAUAUAUGAUUAUAGCACUGGCCUGUGCAGUGGGUGAACUGUACUGACUCUCACACCCAUGCAACAUCAUGCAAAACUAAAUGUCUGUAACUGAGUGAUUUCUUUAAUUGGAUAGGAAAUGGACAGAAAGUAAAACUUGCCAUGAGAAUUAAUGAAAAAAAUACAUGUGAGUAAGCAAAAUAUAAUUAUGAAUUAUGGUCAAUUUUUAGCCAAAAUACUUAUUAAAUAUAUUUUUCCUGUGAUCAGAAGGGCCUUUAGAAGAAGGCAGCCUUAAGUCUAGCACGCAGAUAGAUUUUUGGGGGAAGUUUGAAAGUUGAGUUUGAAACCUUAAUGGGCAUCAUCAUUUCUUCAUUGCCAGCAUAAUUCUCUCAGUCUGGGCUCUGGCAGAGAAAUAAGACAACUCUCACUGCAACCUGGGGGUUGACAUUAAUUAAAAACAAAAAAUCAUAAAGCAUCUGUGGUGAGUUUAGAUGCCAAAUGAGAUGGAGCGAGUUUAAAAGUAAACUUCUUACAAAGGUAACUGAAUGUCAGAAUCUCACAUUUUUAAAACGAAGAUAAUUAAAAUACUUCUCUUUAGUACAUCACAUGCAAGCUUUCGUGAUACAUAAUUAGUAUCACUAGACUGUCUAAUAUUCCUGAGAGAUAUUAUAAAGGCAUAGAGAUAUUAGUGCUUAUUUUAGGCCCAAAGAAAGUAAACAUAUGCAUCCUCAUUUUGCUUCAUACAAUGUAAGCUAAUAGAACAAACACCUAUUUGAUUUCAUAUAUCCAUUGCUUGAAUAUCUAUGUGGCUUGCAAACUGAGAUCAGAAAUUAAAAGUGCGAACUUAUACUUUCAGAGUUUUUAAUGCCAAUGAAUGAAAGGCCCUAAAGCAUGAAUACUGCUAUGGACUGAAUGUGUUUUCCCAGAAUUUGUUUGUUGAAGCCUAAAUCCUCAAUAUGAUAGUAUUUGACAGUGGAACCUUUGAGAAGUAAUUCCGUCAUGAGGGCAGGGCCCUCAUGAGUAGGUUAGUGCCCCUAUAUGAAAAAGUAGAAGGAGAAUCUCUCCCUCUGUCUGCUAUUCAAUUAAAAAGUGGCUGUCUCCAAACCAGGAAAAGUGCUUUCACCAGACACCAGAUCUGCCAGCAUCUUCAUCUUGGACAGUCCAGACUCCAGAACUGUGAGAAAUAAAUUUGCUGUUGAAGCCACCCACUCUAUGAUGUUCUGUUAUGGCAGCCCAAACUGACUAAGAUGGAUAUCAAAUAAAUUGGUUUUGUUACAGCUUCACUCUUUAUGAGAUAUAGUCGGUGGGACUUGCUGUCAAUGAUAUUUUCUACCACAACUAUCUAAUUUUAUGAACACUGAAUGACUCAAGCAAAGGAUACAUAAGCUACCAUGCUAAAAUUAUACUAGUUUAUUUCUCAUUGGAAAGACGAAAUAACAGUCUCCCUGUAGACUAAAGCACUAUCAAACUCCAAAUGAGGUAGGGUAUCACCCUAUCCACAGACAAUUAGCCAGACACUGACCCAGUGUCACUAUCUUUAAUCUUCAAAAGAACCAUAAAAGGAGAUGCUAUUAUGGCUCUCAUUUUGAGUAAAGAAACUGCAGAUCAGCAAAAUUAGACGAUUUCUUUGAGAUCCUGCAACUGGAUAUUGUUGGCAAGAAGGGAGAG